GUCCCAGCCGAGCUCCAGCCGACAAGUCCGAACUCUCUGGUAAGCUACGACGAAGGCCACUACCCUGCUCCACUCCCUGUAACGGAUUCCAUGUGGUUCCACCACUCUCUGGCAAGCUAUGACGAAGGUCACUACCCUGCUCCACUCUCUGCAAUGGAUUUCACGCGGUUCCACCACUCUCUGGCAAGCCACGACGAAGGCCACUACCC
Molecule: long non-coding RNA, 209 nt
Filed under: Elaeis guineensis (African oil palm)
Lineage: Eukaryota; Viridiplantae; Streptophyta; Magnoliopsida; Arecales; Arecaceae
Description: long non-coding RNA (EGUI_LNC040702)
Source: RNAcentral